RNAcentral lists this ribosomal RNA (460 nucleotides) under uncultured bacterium. RNAcentral describes it as "partial 16S ribosomal RNA". It matches the Rfam family "Bacterial small subunit ribosomal RNA", at positions 338 to 795 of the family's 1533-position model. The record is from RNAcentral.
CCUACGGGAGGCAGCAGUGAGGAAUAUUGGUCAAUGGCCGCAGGGCUGAACCAGCCAAGUCGCGUGAGGGAUGACGGUCCUAUGGAUUGUAAACCUCUUUUGUCAGGGAGCAAAGGGCGCCACUUGUGCCGCUUUUCGAGUACCUGAAGAAAAAUCAGCGGCUAACUCCGUGCAAGCAGCCGCGGUAAUACGGAGGAUGCGAGCGUUAUCCGGAUUUAUUGGGUUUAAAGGGUGCGUAGACUGUGCGCCAAGUCUGGAGUGAAAUGCCGCAGCUUAACUGCGGAACUGCUUUGGAAACUGGCGAACUAGAGUGAGGGAGGGGUAAGCGGAAUUCUUGGUGUAGCGGUGAAAUGCGUAGAUAUUAGGAGGAACACCGGUGGCGAAGGCGGGUUACUGGACAGUAACUGACGCUGAGGCUCGAAGGCGUGGGGAGCGAACGGGAUUAGAUACCCUAGUAGUC